Xyrauchen texanus (razorback sucker) is the source of this 336-nucleotide long non-coding RNA. RefSeq lists it as uncharacterized. The record is from RefSeq and is a predicted model, not a curated record. Lineage: Eukaryota; Metazoa; Chordata; Actinopteri; Cypriniformes; Catostomidae. The transcript is spliced from 3 exons.
UCUGCCUGAUAUUUCUCUCUCAGUCUCAGCAGGGGAGCAGGGAAAAUCUCAAGCCAGCUACACAAAGAGAAAACAGGGGGCCCCAUUACUCACCAGGACAGGUCAGUUCAUUACCAACACUGACUCCUGAAGAUUACCAUGGGUAGUUUCGGUUUUGAAUGCUCCAUGACAGAGGAUAUAAAGAAAGGUUGAAAAUGGCCUGUCAAAAACACCCAAGAAGAGCAAUAAAUUGGAAAAGAAGCCAAAAAAGAACAAAUUCAGCACCCGGGUUAAGAGACCUCCGCCGCCGCCUAACUGUGUGCCGUUGUGUGGCAGCUGCAAGACGCCGAACGCGGU